CCAAUAGCGUAUAUUAAAGUUGUUGCAGUUAAAAAGCUCGUAGUUGAAUUUCAGGCCUGGCUGGACGGUCCACCCUUCGGGUGAGUACUGUCUGUGGUCGGGUCCUACCUUCUGGCGAAGCGUCAUGGCCUUAACCGGCCGUGGCGGGGAACCAGGACUUUUACUGUGAAAAAAUUAGAGUGUUCAAAGCAGGCAAUCGCUUGGAUACAUUAGCAUGGAAUAAUGGAAUAGGACAAUGGUUCUAUUUGUUGGUUUCUAGGACCGUUGUAAUGAUUAAUAGGGAUAGUUGGGGGCAUUAGUAUUCAAUUGUCAGAGGUGAAAUUCUUGGAUUUAUUGAAGACUAACUACUGCGAAAGCAUUUGCCAAGGAUGUUUUCAUUAAUCAAGAACGAAAGUUAGGGGAUCGAAGACGAUCAGAUACCGUCGUAGUCUUAACCAUAAACUAUGCCGACUAGGAAUCGGGCGAUGUUGAAAAAAUGACGCGCUCGGCACCUCAUG
Molecule: ribosomal RNA, 497 nt
Filed under: uncultured Glomeromycotina
Lineage: Eukaryota; Fungi; Glomeromycota
Description: partial small subunit ribosomal RNA
Rfam family: Eukaryotic small subunit ribosomal RNA
Source: RNAcentral